AUUGAACGCUGGCGGCAUGCUUUACACAUGCAAGUCGAACGGUAGCAGGCCGCAAGGUGCUGACGAGUGGCGAACGGGUGAGUAAUGCAUCGGAACGUGCCCAGUCGUGGGGGAUAACUACUCGAAAGAGUAGCUAAUACCGCAUACGAUCUAUGGAUGAAAGCGGGGGACCGUAAGGCCUCGCGCGAUUGGAGCGGCCGAUGUCAGAUUAGGUAGUUGGUGGGGUAAAGGCUCACCAAGCCAACGAUCUGUAGCUGGUCUGAGAGGACGACCAGCCACACUGGGACUGAGACACGGCCCAGACUCCUACGGGAGGCAGCAGUGGGGAAUUUUGGACAAUGGGCGCAAGCCUGAUCCAGCAAUGCCGCGUGCAGGAAGAAGGCCUUCGGGUUGUAGACUGCUUUUGUACGGAACGAAACGGCUCUGGUUAAUACCCGGGGCUAAUGACGGUACCGUAAGAAUAAGCACCGGCUAACUACGUG
RNAcentral lists this ribosomal RNA (482 nucleotides) under uncultured bacterium. RNAcentral describes it as "partial 16S ribosomal RNA". It matches the Rfam family "Bacterial small subunit ribosomal RNA", at positions 30 to 507 of the family's 1533-position model. The record is from RNAcentral.